GAUGAACGUUGGCGGCGUGCCUAAUACAUGCAAGUCGAACGGAGAUUGUAGCAAUACGGUCUCAGUGGCGAACGGGUGAGUAACGCGUUGGUGACCUGCCCCGAAGUGUGGAAUAACAGAUCGAAAGAGCUGCUAAUACCGCAUAAUAUCCAGAGGACUAGAUGCCUUUGGAUUAAAGGAUUUAUUCGCUUCGGGAGGGGCCUGCGUCCCAUCAGCUAGUUGGUAAGGUAAAGGCUUACCAAGGCUAUGACGGGUAGGGGACCUGAGAGGGUGGCCCCCACAAUGGAACUGAAACACGGUCCAUACACCUACGGGUGGCAGCAGUAGGGAAUAUUAGUAAUGGGCGAAAGCCUGAACUAGCAACGCCGCGUGUGCGAAGAAGGCCUUCGGGUUGUAAAGCACUUUUUGUAGAGGAUGAGGAAGGACGGUACGUCUCAGAAUAAGUACUCGGUCUAACUACGUG
RNAcentral lists this ribosomal RNA (463 nucleotides) under uncultured bacterium. Its description in RNAcentral is "bacterial SSU rRNA". It matches the Rfam family "Bacterial small subunit ribosomal RNA", at positions 28 to 507 of the family's 1533-position model. The record is from RNAcentral.